This 253-nucleotide ribosomal RNA is filed under the name uncultured bacterium. Its description in RNAcentral is "partial 16S ribosomal RNA". It matches the Rfam family "Bacterial small subunit ribosomal RNA", at positions 524 to 776 of the family's 1533-position model. The record is from RNAcentral.
UACGUAGGGGGCUAGCGUUGUCCGGAAUCAUUGGGCGUAAAGCGCGUGUAGGCGGUCCGGUAAGUCCGCUGUGAAAGUCGGGGGCUCAACCCUCGGAUGCCGGUGGAUACUGUCGGGCUUGAGUACGGAAGAGGCGAGUGGAAUUCCUGGUGUAGCGGUGAAAUGCGCAGAUAUCAGGAGGAACACCGGUGGCGAAGGCGGCGUCCUGGACCAACACUGACACUGAGGAGCGAAAGCCAGGGGAGCAAACGGG